UUGCCGGCGAGCGGCGGACGGGUGAGUAAUGCCUGGGGAUCUGCCCAGUCGAGGGGGAUAACUACUGGAAACGGUAGCUAAUACCGCAUACGCCCUACGGGGGAAAGCAGGGGACCUUCGGGCCUUGCGCGAUUGGAUGAACCCAGGUGGGAUUAGCUAGUUGGUGAGGUAAUGGCUCACCAAGGCGACGAUCCCUAGCUGGUCUGAGAGGAUGAUCAGCCACACUGGAACUGAGACACGGUCCAGACUCCUACGGGAGGCAGCAGUGGGGAAUAUUGCACAAUGGGGGAAACCCUGAUGCAGCCAUGCCGCGUGUGUGAAGAAGGCCUUCGGGUUGUAAAGCACUUUCAGCGAGGAGGAAAGGUUGGUAGCUAAUAACUGCC
This 383-nucleotide ribosomal RNA is filed under the name Aeromonas veronii. RNAcentral describes it as "bacterial SSU rRNA". It matches the Rfam family "Bacterial small subunit ribosomal RNA", at positions 85 to 473 of the family's 1533-position model. The record is from RNAcentral. Lineage: Bacteria; Pseudomonadati; Pseudomonadota; Gammaproteobacteria; Aeromonadales; Aeromonadaceae.